GUGCUUGCUUCGGCAGCACAUAUACUAAGAUUGGAACAAUACAGAGAUUAGCAUGGUCCCUGCGCAAGGAUAACAUGCAAAUUCAUGAAGUGUUCCAUAUUUUU
This is a small nuclear RNA of Suncus etruscus (white-toothed pygmy shrew), 104 nucleotides long. The record is from RefSeq and is a predicted model, not a curated record. NCBI's taxonomy places the organism in Eukaryota, Metazoa, Chordata, Mammalia, Eulipotyphla, Soricidae.